AGUCUGGUGCCAGCAGCCGCGGUAAUUCCAGCUCCAAUAGCGUAUAUUAAUGUUGUUGUGGUUAAAAAGCUCGUAGUUGGAUCUCGGCGGGCAGCGGUCGGUCCGAAUCGCUUCGGUACUGACGCGUUUGGCCCGUGUGUGUUUGCCGACUUCCGGGCCGGUGCUCUUGAUCGGGUGUCGGCUUCAGGGGUCGGGCCGGUUUCGGCCGCGCUCGGCCCUGCGGAUCGGCAGUUUUACUUUGAAAAAAUUAGGGUGCUCAAAGCAGGCUUGUCACGCUUGAAUAUUCGUGCAUGGAAUAAUGGAAUAGGAAGUCGUUCCUAUUUUGUUGGUUUUCGGGAACCGACUUAAUGAUUAAUAGGGACAGUCGGGGGCAUUUGUAUUCAGACGCUAGAGGUGAAAUUCUUGGACCGUCUGAAGACAAACUACUGCGAAAGCAUUUGCCAAGGAUGUUUUCAUUAAUCAAGAACGAAAGUUAGAGGUUCGAAGGCGAUUAGAUACCGCCCUAGUUCUAACCAUAAACUAUGC
This 525-nucleotide ribosomal RNA is filed under the name Copepoda environmental sample. RNAcentral's name for it is "bacterial SSU rRNA". It matches the Rfam family "Eukaryotic small subunit ribosomal RNA", at positions 558 to 1042 of the family's 1831-position model. Lineage: Eukaryota; Metazoa; Arthropoda; Copepoda. The record is from RNAcentral.